AAAAAUAGACCAAGUCGUAUACCAAGAGAUCAAUGGAGUGGUCUUGUCUCUUAUUGGCUUUCUGACAAAGCUAAGAGACGUACCCAAGCAAAUAGAAACAAUAGGGCCAAACAAAACAUGCCUCACACGGGAGGAUCCAAAAGUAUUGCUACAUUGAUGGAUGAGAAGGCUGAAAAUGGUGUAGAGCCUACACGAGCAGAAGUUUUCUUAUUAACUCAUAAAAAACGCGCGGACGGUAGACCAUUGGAUGAUGAUUCUGCCAAAGUAAUUG
Long non-coding RNA from Solanum verrucosum, 271 nucleotides. RefSeq lists it as uncharacterized. The transcript is spliced from 3 exons. NCBI's taxonomy places the organism in Eukaryota, Viridiplantae, Streptophyta, Magnoliopsida, Solanales, Solanaceae. The record is from RefSeq and is a predicted model, not a curated record.